This is a long non-coding RNA of Mytilus californianus (California mussel), 622 nucleotides long. RefSeq lists it as uncharacterized. Lineage: Eukaryota; Metazoa; Mollusca; Bivalvia; Mytilida; Mytilidae. The record is from RefSeq and is a predicted model, not a curated record. The transcript is spliced from 3 exons.
AAUUAUAAGGUUGAUUAAAAAGUAUAAAGUGGAUACUUAAGUAUAAGUUAUGAAUCCAGAUAGCUUAAUUAUCAAAAGAAAAAAUACAUGAAUAAAAUGAGAUGUUUGGUACAUGUCAAUGAAACAGACGUAGAGACAUAGGUAUGCUGUUUGGUACAUGUCAAUGAAACAGACGUAGAGACAUAGGUAUGCUGUUUGGUACAUGUCAAUGAGACAGACGUAGAGACAUAGGUAUGCUGUUUGGUACAUGUCAAUGAGACAGACGUAGAGACAUAGUUAUGCUGUUUCAGGCAUCAACUAUGUAUUAGUUUGUGAUUAGGUCAAUUUAUGGGGAUUCAAUAGUGAUAGGUCAGUGAUACUUGGUAUGCAGUCAUAUUUGCAAUGGCACAUCUCAUUUCCAUGUAGAUUGUUUGGCCCUGUACCAUAAGUCAUGGUUCAUUGACUUUGCAUAACUAACAAGUUUUUAUUAUUGCGGUUGUAUAUUGGUAUGACGUUUGCGUCAUCGUCGUCAGAAGACACAUUGAUUUUCGCACAAUAACUUAAUUUUACCAUAAGGUUCAAUACAACAAAAGGAAGGAGAUUAUGACCAUAUCCUGAGGGAAAGAAUUUUUAUUUUUGGAAA